This 733-nucleotide ribosomal RNA is filed under the name uncultured Actinomycetes bacterium. RNAcentral's name for it is "bacterial SSU rRNA". It matches the Rfam family "Bacterial small subunit ribosomal RNA", at positions 71 to 817 of the family's 1533-position model. Lineage: Bacteria; Bacillati; Actinomycetota; Actinomycetes. The record is from RNAcentral.
AGCUGGAGCUUGCUCCGGCCGAUUAGUGGCGAACGGGUGAGUAACACGUGAGCAAUCUGCCCUUGACUCUGGGAUAACUGCGGGAAACUGUAGCUAAUACCGGAUACUUUCCUCGCUGGGCAUCCAGCGGGGAAGAAAGAAUUUCGGUCAAGGAUGAGCUCGCGGCCUAUCAGCUAGUUGGUGAGGUAAAGGCUCACCAAGGCGACGACGGGUAGCCGGCCUGAGAGGGUGACCGGCCACACUGGAACUGAGACACGGUCCAGACUCCUACGGGAGGCAGCAGUGGGGAAUAUUGCACAAUGGGCGAAAGCCUGAUGCAGCAACGCCGCGUGAGGGAUGAAGGCCUUCGGGUUGUAAACCUCUUUUAGCAGGGAAGAAGCGAAAGUGACGGUACCUGCAGAAAAAGCACCGGCUAACUACGUGCCAGCAGCCGCGGUAAUACGUAGGGUGCAAGCGUUGUCCGGAAUUAUUGGGCGUAAAGAGCUCGUAGGCGGUUUGUCACGUCUGCUGUGAAAAUCCGAGGCUCAACCUCGGACCUGCAGUGGGUACGGGCAGGCUAGAGUGCGGUAGGGGAGAAGGGAAUUCCUGGUGUAGCGGUGGAAUGCGCAGAUAUCAGGAGGAACACCAAUGGCGAAGGCACUUCUCUGGGCCGUAACUGACGCUGAGGAGCGAAAGCGUGGGGAGCGAACAGGAUUAGAUACCCUGGUAGUCCACGCCGUAAACGGUGGGUGCU